UACGUAGGGUGCAAGCAUUAUCCGGAUUUACUGGGCGUAAAGAGUCUGUAGGCGGAUUUAUAAGUGGCGGGUUAAAGCCCGGGGCUCAACUCCGGAAUCGCUCGUCAUACUGUUUUUCUGGAGGGGGUUCGAGGAGGUUGGAAUUCUCGGUGGAGGGGUGAAAUCCGUUGAUAUCGAGAGGAACUCCAAGGGCGAAGGCAGACCUCUAGGACCUUUCUGACGCUGAGAGACGAAAGCUAGGGUAG
Molecule: ribosomal RNA, 245 nt
Filed under: uncultured bacterium
Lineage: Bacteria
Description: partial 16S ribosomal RNA
Rfam family: Bacterial small subunit ribosomal RNA
Source: RNAcentral